GGCUCAAAUCACUAGGUGGAGUUGGCAUAUGCUGGGUGGGGGGGUGUGGCUGUGUGCAUCAUACCUUUUUUUCUUUUCUUUUUUUUCUUCAUAUAUAUAUAUAAUUCCAUUUUCAUUAUGGCUGCACAACAAAUAUAAAUAAAUAUGUUUUAUUAAUGCGAUAGCGUUAUCGCGAAGGCUACCAUUACCGUUAACAGAGUCCAUAGACGCUGAAGAAGGACGCAAAGAUCGAGGACGUGCGAAGAAAUCUCAACUAUUAAAUUGGGGAUGAUAUUUAUAUGAAUGUAUCUGAAUAUUCAUCAGAAAAGUUUAGAUGGCAUUUUUUCAUUUUACCUCCGUAUAAUGCUCAUGGUGCCAUGGUCUUUAGAAGCACUUUGUUUACAGUGGUAACUAAGGAAACACUAUAUUGCCAACACUGUUCCCUAAAUGCCACCUGCUGUCAGAGUUUUUGUCAGCUGUUUUUGUUUCGUCCUGAUUUUUUAAGUAGCAUAAUUUUACAAAGCUAAAAGUAAGACCAUUCUCAUUAUUCUGAAAUAAACAAAUAAAAUAAAUUAAUAAAAAUAAAAUACAUUUUGCUUCAAAUGUAGAAAUUAUACAUUACAAUUUAAAUAUAAAACUGCUCUUGCUACAUGUAGCAUCUUUGUUUGGAUUAUGGUCCAGAUUUUACAGUUCAGCCUGUAAUAGAGCAAAUAAACAUCUUGUUCAUGUACACAUAUUUCCAUUCUUUCUUGUCUCUUUGAUAAAUUACUAAUUUUAAGAAUGUUUGAAUCGAAGAAAUCAAGACAUAUAUAUUAGUAUUGCAAUUUUACUUCAAAUAUUAAAAUAACUGAUUAAAUAUUGCAGCAUAGCAUUGGAUGAUAACACUUUAUCAUUAAGUCAACUACUAACUAGUUGACUUAAUGUCAGUUUUUUUUUUUUUUUUUUUUUUGAAUGAUCGGUGGAGGAAUUGGCUGUGAUGCAAGGGCAAUGCAGCUAAAAUCUUGCCUAGGGCACCAAGUUGGUCAAGGCCAGCCCUGAUUUGUAGUCUUUAACUAAGUAAUUGAAUUUCUAAAAAAUCUUUAAGUAGUACAGGGAUCCUCAAAUCUGGCCCCAGAGAUCCACUUUCCUACAAAGUUUAGCUCUAAUCAUAAUCAAACACACCUGAGCAAGCUAAUCAGGAUCUUUAGGAUCUUCAGGUCUUCAGGAUCAUUAGAAAAUCACAGGUAGUUGAGUUUGAUCAGGGCUGGAAAUAAACUCUGCAGUGCAUUGGCCCUCCGGGGCCAGAUUUGAGGAACGCUGCCUAGCACUACGCUGCCUAAACUGUCCAAAAUUUACGUUAAUAAUAAGGGCUAGAAAGAUUUUUUUUUUUUUUUCUGAUUUCUUUUGCUUAAGAUGACUCGAUUUGUACCCUAAUAUGUCAUGAAGACCAGUGGUUUUCAACCUGUGGGCCGCGGCACCCUAGUAUGUCGCGAUGGUAUUGCAGGGUCAACAUAAAUGGCUGUUCCCUCUUGACUGCUUGCUCGGCUGACUGUCUACCUGCUGACUGUCUACCUGCAAAAAGUACCCAGCUAUUUAAAUGGGGUCCAGCAGCUACGCUAAUGGACAUCCCCUUGUCCCUUGUACAAUGCUGAUGUUGAUGAAUACGUGCCCAAAUUGAAGUGUUCACUGGGAGCUGAUGAGAUGGGUGCAGCCUGCUCAACGGUAAUUCUAGUUUCCUGCCAUGAGACAAGCCGGGGAUACCCCAGUGGUGACAUGUUGGGUAGCACGAUAAAGCUAACCACAGAACUUUUUUCAGAUGUUUUACCAAAAACCCAUUCAAAAAAACUAUAAAUUACAAACUUACUUCUUAUAGUACUCUACUCGAGUCUUGUAUUCUCUACUAAUGACCAGAUGAGAUUACUCAUGUGAGAUAUAUGGGGAACCGUGUGUACUGAUGGGACAUCAGGACAGGUUUAGGAAGCAGUGUUUUUCGGUUAUUUCUAUAUUAACAUAACCAUGCCUCAUAUUGAUCAUAUACUUUAGUUUUUGGCCGCACAUAAACAGGUUUUGGUCUAUGAAAAACAUUAAGGAAACAGGUAAAAAAAAAAAGAUUUUGUAAUUCUGAUUAUAUUCUGUGGUGAUUUUCUUUGUUGCUAAAACAUUUAACUGCUGAGCUUGUGUUUUCUCAGAGUAUGUUUUGAUUACCGGAAGGCGUAAUGUUGUUCUCUGCCAUUCAGCUAAUGAUACUGGAAACAUACAAGAACUUACUUCUCUUUACUUUCAACUUUGCAUUUUUGCUCAAAUUUUUUACAACUUUUAUUAUUGUUAUUAUUUAAGUGGAUAUA
Molecule: long non-coding RNA, 2303 nt
Organism: Carassius auratus (goldfish)
Lineage: Eukaryota; Metazoa; Chordata; Actinopteri; Cypriniformes; Cyprinidae
Exons: 3
Source: RefSeq, a predicted model, not a curated record